AUAAUUACUUCGUUUGACUUUAAGAAGAGAAAAAAGAGAAAUUCCCCCAUAAAUUUCGUCCAAAAAACAUAAAACUAAAAAAACACGUACCAAACCCUAAGAAAAAAAAAACAUAACUCUUCGUUUCCUCAACUCUGUCUUUUGAUUUCGAACAAAAUUUUCGUCUCCUUCACUGAAUCUUUAACCUUGCGUAAUCUUUUGAUUUCAACAACCUAGCCCUAAUCUCUAACCUUGCGUCAAUCUCAAGUAGUUGUUUCGAGGAGGAUUGGGUUCUAUUUCGAAUCAACAGAUAAAUUGAAUUCAGCCCUGAUCUCUUUCGAUCUCAACAGGUACACAAACGAUAACUCUUAACCAGGGUUUGGUUUUGGGGUAAUCUAGCGUUUGGUUUUGGGAAGAACAACUGAGAAUGAGUCUAAAUCGGUAAGAAUGAGAAUGGGUUAAUCGGAGAUGGGGGUUUGAGAGUUCUUGGAUGAUGAUAAGAGUUGGGUUGAGAUCGAUUUGCAACCAGAUGAAGAAAUCAAUCGAGAAAAAAUAUUCCAGUUGCAGAGCUGUUGUUGGUGUUGCUACCAGAGAAGCUACAACAAUGGGGCAAUGGAUUCUGGGGUUGCUGUUGGUGCUGGAUGGCAAAGUGUCAUAGCUUAUGUGAACCUAGCCUGCUAUUACUUGGUCAGAAUUCCUGUUGGAAUGAUCCUCGGUUACCUUAUCAACAAAAGCUAAAUCCAGAGAUCGUCCAGACUUCAAACAACUAAUGAUAUGCUUCCAAUCCAGAGAACAAUUCUACAAUCCAGAAACCAUAAACUUGCCAGAAGCUUAAGGCUUUCCAUUAUGUACCUCUCCCUGUUCUACUUUUCUAUGUUUAAUUCAUCGUCGUUAUCCUUUAUUUUUUAAAUUUUUUUUUGAUUGUUGGUAGUGGGUUCUUUUACAGAUUUUGGAACAGUAAUUACGUAAACCCUAAUUUAUGUUCUACAAUCACAGCAACCCUUUACGUAAACCCUAAUUUAUGUUCCAUGUGCAGUUGAGAUGAACAAAAUUGGAUCAAGUAGAAAUUAGUUAGACUUGAUCAAGUUUGAAGGAUGAACUCUGUGGCGCUAUCAAACUUAAAGUCUAGAUGCAUUCUUAGGGAUUACAGGUAUUCAAGUACAAAGAAGUGAGGCGCAUAGAUUAAGCAGCUUUGUUUUCAUCAGGUGAUGGACUGAGGCCUGGAUCAAUUUAUGAUGCUAAUGACACCGCUCAAUUUGCUGAGCUUUUGACACAAGAAGAGCUAACACGUCGAGCGUGGGAGAAGGACGUACAGGUGAUGAACGAAGGACCUGGGCAUAUUCCACUACACAAAAUCACUGAAAACAUGGACAACAAGUCUACAAGGCAGAAAAUAUAGGUUUUGUGCUUAUAUACUGUCUAAAGCAUCUCUUCAAUAGUUUUUCUUCUUUACUCUAUCUUAUUUGCUUAGACUACAUUCAAUUUGUACAUAAUGAAUUUGUUUGAAUAGUCUUUCUUUUGUUUGCAACUUUUAAUAGAACCCUAAACAGUUAAUGUGGCAUUCUUUACUGCAAGGUUCUGGAAAUCCUAAAAGGAAUUCCCGCGGGGAUAAAAGUAAAACAAAAGCUUGAUGCAAAAGGAUAAUUUCCUUAGGAGUGGUACAUUCUACAAAAAUUACUUGUGCCUCCCAAUUUUCUCUCUGUACCAGAUAUUGUAGAUGUGCUAUCAAAUCUUUAUAGUAAAUUGUUACCAAUUUUUUCCUUCAUUGAUUGUGUGUAUGUUUAGCUUCUGUCGUUCAGCUAAUAAACUUGGUAGUAUAUUAAAUCUGGAAAUUUGUUUAAAGAUAUUUUUGUGUAAAUGUUUUAAGAAAGUUCUCAAGCUAGCUGAAAUCAACAAAAGCUCAAGAUCAGGCCCUCCAAAUUUUAAGUCUCAUGAUGUGGAAGCCAACGAAUUGCGCAAUACCUUCAAGUUAAGGGUAGAACUAAGGUAUGCGUAUUUUACAUUGGUAAGGUUGAUGAUGUCCUGUUACUUAUGCAAACUGUGAAUCACUAUUAACUGUUUUAUAGGACAGAAAAAGGAAUAGUUGUUGAACUCUUUUCAUGCUAUAAAUUGAGAAAUUUCUGCUCAUAUAUGAACUUGGUGAGCAUUUGUACGUCUACGGUUCCUUGCACAAAUCCUUAUACCCAGUUAGACGUGUUAAUUCUAACCCAAUUCUAGCUGGGAAAACUAAUGCCUUUCCAGUUGAUAUUGCUGCUCGGCUAGCUUCCAAAAGUAAUUUAUGUGGCAGUCAUUCGUUUCAUUGUCCAUAUAUAUUUGGUGAACUAGAAAGUUGUAGGUAUAUUCAAUUUUUCAGGACGCCUAUCCACAACAGUAAAGGGCGAUACAAAGGAACGAUGAGGUCUAUAAUAAAGCUUAAGCAUUACGCAGCAUCAAGAAUGGGAACGAUGAGAAACUAUGUAUAAAUCAGCACCAACAUAUGGCGCUAGCCUUCUCGGUGUAGCUGUUACAUGUUCAUGACCCAACAAUCAUGAAUCCUAAAAAACAUAAUUGUUGAAAGAGGUUAACACAAGCGGAGAAUAGGUUUUAUCUAACUCAAAUAUAUAUCUAUUCUUUUUAUUUUUUGUAUACACAUUAUGUUUUAGUUCAUGCUCUAAAUGUGAGCUUAUUUUUCUUAUUUUUCAGUUAAAUUGCAUUUAGUUAUAUCUAUUUUUUUGUAUACAGAGUUUGUGACAAAGCACACCUUGGUUUUGUCGUACCAUUUCCUUCAUAUUUGUUGCGGUGCAUGUUAUGUAUCAUACGUAGGUACUGAAUGUAUCUCUGUUCAACUUAGAAAGCACAUUGUAGUUUCCAAGUAUACUAGAUUGUGGUGCCCUUUUGUUCCUAAUGAGAAGCAGAGUCGGACCUUCAUAAUCUUAUCUCAUGUAGUGACCACAACAUAUUUGCUUUUACAAUUCUUUUCUGUUAAUUUUCAGUAUACAUAAGUGGGGGAUUCAGGUGGCAGUACCAGUUGCCAAAGCAUUCGAUCUUGCAAUGGCACUAUCAUUUAGAGAACUUUGCAGUGUAAAACCACUCAAUCAAGCUACCGAAUAAUUUCACGUUCUCUAUUGAACCACUUCCUUUCUCAGUUGAAGAGACAGAGUAUAAGUACAUUGUGGUGUUCAACAACAUGAUGAGUAGGAUAUCUCAGAAGUAGUUUAGCGAGCCAGUGUUCAUUUUGUUGUCAAAUGGGAAAGUGCAUAUGAAGAAUAGUUGACUCCUAACUAAUCAAAACACAUAAUUUCUUAAAAAUGAUUAUACUCCAAUCAAGACAACGUGAAUUUCAGAGUUCUAGCAACUUUAAUAAGAUUACAAGAAAUGGGGACUUGGGCGAAGUCGAGCUUUACCAAAUCAUAUCGGGACUGGGGCGAGGCGAAGCCGAGCUUUACCAAAUCAUAUCGGAACUGGGGCGAGGUGAAACCGAGCUUUACCAAAUCAUAUCGGGACUGGACCGAAGCGAUCCGAACUUUACCAAAUCAAAUGGGGACUGGGGCGAGGCAAAGCCGAGCUUUACCAAAUACAAAAUAUGGUUCAAAGAAAGAGGCAUUGAUGCAUUGUAUUUGUAGUUGUAGAUUGAAUUGGUGAACCAAGUUUGAGAAGCUCCUGGGCGUAGCAUGGGCAAACUUAUUUGAAAACUGUGUUUGUUCAAAACAAGGCCAUCUUGUUUAAAAGCUUUGAUUUUUUUUUCUUUGGCAAGAGGCAACCACUAAAUUUGCUCACGUAGACUUGGUAACAAAUUUGAACUGUUUAGAAACUGAAAAGUGAAAACCACAG
This is a long non-coding RNA of Papaver somniferum (opium poppy), 3789 nucleotides long. RefSeq lists it as uncharacterized. The transcript has 8 exons. The record is from RefSeq and is a predicted model, not a curated record. Lineage: Eukaryota; Viridiplantae; Streptophyta; Magnoliopsida; Ranunculales; Papaveraceae.